This 2174-nucleotide ribosomal RNA is filed under the name Staphylococcus caprae. RNAcentral's name for it is "partial 23S ribosomal RNA". It matches the Rfam family "Bacterial large subunit ribosomal RNA", at positions 657 to 2834 of the family's 2925-position model. Lineage: Bacteria; Bacillati; Bacillota; Bacilli; Caryophanales; Staphylococcaceae. The record is from RNAcentral.
AAUGUGGAGCCGUAGCGAAAGCGAGUCUGAAUAGGGCGUUGAGUAUUUGGUCGUAGACCCGAAACCAGGUGAUCUACCCUUGGUCAGGUUGAAGUUCAGGUAACACUGAAUGGAGGACCGAACCGACUUACGUUGAAAAGUGAGCGGAUGAACUGAGGGUAGCGGAGAAAUUCCAAUCGAACUUGGAGAUAGCUGGUUCUCUCCGAAAUAGCUUUAGGGCUAGCCUCAAGUGAUGAUUAUUGGAGGUAGAGCACUGUUUGGACGAGGGGCCCCUCUCGGGUUACCGAAUUCAGACAAACUCCGAAUGCCAAUCAAUUUAACUUGGGAGUCAGAACAUGGGUGAUAAGGUCCGUGUUCGAAAGGGAAACAGCCCAGACCACCAGCUAAGGUCCCAAAAUAUAUGUUAAGUGGAAAAGGAUGUGGCGUUGCCCAGACAACUAGGAUGUUGGCUUAGAAGCAGCCAUCAUUUAAAGAGUGCGUAAUAGCUCACUAGUCGAGUGACACUGCGCCGAAAAUGUACCGGGGCUAAACAUAUUACCGAAGCUGUGGAUUGUCCGUAGGACAAUGGUAGGAGAGCGUUCUAAGGGCGUUGAAGCAUGAUCGCAAGGACAUGUGGAGCGCUUAGAAGUGAGAAUGCCGGUGUGAGUAGCGAAAGACGGGUGAGAAUCCCGUCCACCGAUUGACUAAGGUUUCCAGAGGAAGGCUCGUCCGCUCUGGGUUAGUCGGGUCCUAAGCUGAGGCCGACAGGCGUAGGCGAUGGAUAACAGGUUGAUAUUCCUGUACCACCUAGUAUCGUUUUAAUCGAUGGGGGGACGCAGUAGGAUAGGCGAAGCGUGCUGUUGGAGUGCACGUCCAAGCAGUAAGGCUGAGUGUUAGGCAAAUCCGGCACUCGUAAGGCUGAGCUGUGAUGGGGAGAGGAAAUUGUUUCCUCGAGUCGUUGAUUUCACACUGCCGAGAAAAGCCUCUAGAUAGAUAACAGGUGCCCGUACCGCAAACCGACACAGGUAGUCAAGAUGAGAAUUCUAAGGUGAGCGAGCGAACUCUCGUUAAGGAACUCGGCAAAAUGACCCCGUAACUUCGGGAGAAGGGGUGCUCUUUAGGGUUCACGCCCAGAAGAGCCGCAGUGAAUAGGCCCAAGCGACUGUUUAUCAAAAACACAGGUCUCUGCUAAACCGUAAGGUGAUGUAUAGGGGCUGACGCCUGCCCGGUGCUGGAAGGUUAAGAGGAGUGGUUAGCUUCUGCGAAGCUACGAAUCGAAGCCCCAGUAAACGGCGGCCGUAACUAUAACGGUCCUAAGGUAGCGAAAUUCCUUGUCGGGUAAGUUCCGACCCGCACGAAAGGCGUAACGAUUUGGGCACUGUCUCAACGAGAGACUCGGUGAAAUCAUAGUACCUGUGAAGAUGCAGGUUACCCGCGACAGGACGGAAAGACCCCGUGGAGCUUUACUGUAGCCUGAUAUUGAAAUUCGGCACAGCUUGUACAGGAUAGGUAGGAGCCAUUGAAACGUGAGCGCUAGCUUACGUGGAGGCGUUGGUGGGAUACUACCCUAGCUGUGUUGGCUUUCUAACCCGCACCACUUAUCGUGGUGGGAGACAGUGUCAGGCGGGCAGUUUGACUGGGGCGGUCGCCUCCUAAAAGGUAACGGAGGCGCUCAAAGGUUCCCUCAGAAUGGUUGGAAAUCAUUCACAGAGUGUAAAGGCAUAAGGGAGCUUGACUGCGAGACCUACAAGUCGAGCAGGGUCGAAAGACGGACUUAGUGAUCCGGUGGUUCCGCAUGGAAGGGCCAUCGCUCAACGGAUAAAAGCUACCCCGGGGAUAACAGGCUUAUCUCCCCCAAGAGUUCACAUCGACGGGGAGGUUUGGCACCUCGAUGUCGGCUCAUCGCAUCCUGGGGCUGUAGUCGGUCCCAAGGGUUGGGCUGUUCGCCCAUUAAAGCGGUACGCGAGCUGGGUUCAGAACGUCGUGAGACAGUUCGGUCCCUAUCCGUCGUGGGCGUAGGAAAUUUGAGAGGAGCUGUCCUUAGUACGAGAGGACCGGGAUGGACAUACCUCUGGUGUACCAGUUGUCGUGCCAACGGCAUAGCUGGGUAGCUAUGUAUGGACGGGAUAAGUGCUGAAAGCAUCUAAGCAUGAAGCCCCCCUCAAGAUGAGAUUUCCCAACUUCGGUUAUAAGAU